RNAcentral lists this ribosomal RNA (482 nucleotides) under uncultured bacterium. RNAcentral's name for it is "bacterial SSU rRNA". It matches the Rfam family "Bacterial small subunit ribosomal RNA", at positions 15 to 507 of the family's 1533-position model. The record is from RNAcentral.
GAUCCUGGCUCAGAUUGAACGCUGGCGGCAUGCUUUACACAUGCAAGUCGAACGGCAGCACAGGGAGCUUGCUCCCGGGUGGCGAGUGGCGCACGGGUGAGUAAUACAUCGGAACGUGUCCUGUUGUGGGGGGAUAACUGCUCGAAAGGCCUGCUAAUACCGCAUGAUGCAGUUGGACCGCAUGGUCCUGACUGCCAAAGAUUUAUCGCUCUGAGAUGGCCUCGCGUCUGAUUAGCUUGUUGGCGGGGUAAUGGCCCACCAAGGCGACGAUCAGUAGCCGGACUGAGAGGUUGGCCGGCCACAUUGGGACUGAGACACGGCCCAGACUCCUACGGGAGGCAGCAGUGGGGAAUAUUGGGCAAUGGGCGCAAGCCUGACCCAGCAACGCCGCGUGAAGGAAGAAGGCUUUCGGGUUGUAAACUUCUUUUCUCAGGGACGAACAAAUGACGGUACCUGAGGAAUAAGCCACGGCUAACUACGUG